Long non-coding RNA from Sebastes umbrosus (honeycomb rockfish), 987 nucleotides. RefSeq lists it as uncharacterized. The transcript has 3 exons. Lineage: Eukaryota; Metazoa; Chordata; Actinopteri; Perciformes; Sebastidae. The record is from RefSeq and is a predicted model, not a curated record.
GAUCUGAAUUCAGUCAGCUAGCCUCCACAUUGAAGUGUCAUAGAGGCAAUGCCGUACAUUGAUUAGAAUUAGAAAUGUGUCAGAGGAACCACAUUUUGAAGAUGGGUGGUGUGUGUGGGCCGGUCUGGAACAAAAUGUCCCAGUUCAGUCAUGUCUUUGGGCAGAGAUGUACAGAUGAACAGACCGGAUCAAGCAAAAGUUGACUCCUGGUGGAGGAAGAGGAGGAAGUCAGUGAUGAUGGAAUGAAGUCAUCAUAUCUGAUACCCGCGAUGAUUCUCCAAACAAACUGAUAGAGUGACAGGGGAAUGCAGCAGUGUUGAUCUCACCCGACCCCUCACAGAUAACACAAAGCUCCUCUGACACAGAGCAGGCUCGUGGAGAAAGAAAGGAGUGCAAGAAAAGCAAGAUGGGAGUGUUUCCUCUCACUCUGCACGGAGACUUUAUCUGAGCUGCAGAUAAGACGCCUGACUAACAACAUCUUACCGUGCACUUAAAAUGCUCCUCGUGCCCAGUUUAUCGGGAACAGACCAAACAUUAACAGCUGAUGGUGAGGAACAAGUAGUAGAAAAACAAAUAAAUGCUGUCAGCGAACAGAAAGUCCGUGUCUCAGCUACUGAUGUGUUCUUUGAGGAGAUGAGUAAUGAUGACGUAAAAUUAAACAUCUUCACUCACAGCUCCAAAUACACAUGCAGGAGGCUGAGCUUCUACCUCUGACCAAUAUGAAGUUCUAUUAUUGAAUUUUUACUACCUGCAACUGUUCAGAUUGUUUUUUCAGGUCAGGUUGGACCAUAUAGGUGCAAGUUUUGAAAGAUUCAUGUACAUUUCAGUGCAUAAAAAAAAUUGUGAGGAUAUAUCAUCACUCCCCGAGACGCCCCCGCAGCUAGGCUGAGCAGUAUGAAAGCGGUAGUAGACAGUAUAUUUUUGGCAUCAUUGGGCAUCAAAAAUGCCAUAAUAACCUUUCAGCAUAUUGUAAUCCAAGUGUUCUGA